CCUACGGGAGUCAGCAGUGAGGAAUAUUGGUCAAUGGAGGCAAAUCUGAACCAGCCAUGCCGCGUGCAGGAAGACUGCCCUAUGGGUUGUAAACUGCUUUUAUACAGGAAGAAACACUCCCUCGUGAGGGAGCUUGACGGUACUGUACCAAUAAGGAACGGCUAACUCCGUACCAGCAGCCGCGGUAA
Molecule: ribosomal RNA, 188 nt
Filed under: uncultured bacterium
Lineage: Bacteria
Description: partial 16S ribosomal RNA
Rfam family: Bacterial small subunit ribosomal RNA
Source: RNAcentral